AAUUGGAGGGCAAGUCUGGUGCCAGCAGCCGCGGUAAUUCCAGCUCCAAUAGCGUAUAUUAAAGUUGUUGCAGUUAAAAAGCUCGUAGUUGAAUUUCGGGAUCAAUAUUUCGGUCAUGCCGUUGGUAUGCACUGUUAUCAUUGAUUUCUCACCUUCUAAAGAACCGUAAUGCCAUUAAUUUGGUGUUACGGGGAAUUAGGACUGUUACCUUGAAAAAAUUAGAGUGUUUAAAGCAGGCUCACGCUUGAAUACAUUAGCAUGGAAUAAUGAAAUAGGACAUCCGAUUCUAUUUUGUUGGUUUCUAGGAUCGGUGUAAUGAUUAAUAGGGAUAGUUGGGGGCAUUAGUAUUCAAUUGUCAGAGGUGAAAUUCUUGGAUUUAUUGAAGACUAACUACUGCGAAAGCAUUUGCCAAGGAUGUUUUCAUUAAUCAAGAACGAAAGUUAGGGGAUCGAAGACGAUCAGAUACCGUCGUAGUCUUAACCAUAAACUAUGCCGACUAGGGAUCGGAUGAUGUUAAUUUUUUAAUGACUCAUUCGGCGCCUUACGGGAAACCAAAGUGU
RNAcentral lists this ribosomal RNA (560 nucleotides) under uncultured Glomus. Its description in RNAcentral is "SSU rRNA". It matches the Rfam family "Eukaryotic small subunit ribosomal RNA", at positions 546 to 1106 of the family's 1831-position model. Lineage: Eukaryota; Fungi; Glomeromycota; Glomeromycetes; Glomerales; Glomeraceae. The record is from RNAcentral.